ACACCGGCAGCCCGAGUGGUGGCCACUUUUAUUGGGCCUAAAGCGUCCGUAGCCGGUCUGGUAAGUCCCUGUGUAACUCCUCAGGCUCAACCUGAGGAAGUGCGGGGAUACUACCAGACUCGGGGCCGGGAGACGCGGAGGGUACUCAAGGGGUAGCGGUGAAAUGCUGUAAUCCCUGGGGGACCACCAGUGGCGAAGGCGCUCCGCGAGAACGGGCCCGACGGUGAGGGACGAAAGCCAGGGGAGCGAACAGGAUUAGAUACCCUAGUAGUCC
RNAcentral lists this ribosomal RNA (274 nucleotides) under uncultured bacterium. Its description in RNAcentral is "partial 16S ribosomal RNA". It matches the Rfam family "Archaeal small subunit ribosomal RNA", at positions 473 to 747 of the family's 1478-position model. The record is from RNAcentral.